AACGUAGGAGGCGAGCGUUAUCCGGAGUUACUGGGCGUAAAGCGCGUGUAGGUGGCUGGUUACGUCUGCUGUGAAAUGUCCCGGCUUAACCGGGACUAGGCGGUAGAUACGGAUCGGCUAGAGGGUGACAGAGGAGCGUAGAAUUCCGGGUGUAGUGGUGAAAUGCGUAGAGAUCCGGAGGAAUACCAGUGGCGCAAGCGGCGCUCUGGGUCGAGCCUGACACUGAGACGCGAAAGCAUGGGGAGCAAACUGG
This 253-nucleotide ribosomal RNA is filed under the name uncultured bacterium. RNAcentral's name for it is "partial 16S ribosomal RNA". It matches the Rfam family "Bacterial small subunit ribosomal RNA", at positions 524 to 776 of the family's 1533-position model. The record is from RNAcentral.